UCCAGAGGGUGCGAGCGUUAAUCGGAAUUACUGGGCGUAAAGCGCGCGUAGGCGGCUUUGCAAGUCGGGUGUGAAAUCCCCAGGCUUAACCUGGGAACUGCAUUCGAGACUGCAUUGCUAGAGUAUGGGAGAGGGAAGUGGAAUUUCAGGUGUAGCGGUGAAAUGCGUAGAUAUCUGAAGGAACAUCAGUGGCGAAAGCGACUUCCUGGACCAAUACUGACGCUCAUGUGCGAAAGCGUGGGGAGCAAACAGG
Molecule: ribosomal RNA, 253 nt
Filed under: uncultured bacterium
Lineage: Bacteria
Description: partial 16S ribosomal RNA
Rfam family: Bacterial small subunit ribosomal RNA
Source: RNAcentral